Molecule: ribosomal RNA, 622 nt
Filed under: uncultured Gammaproteobacteria bacterium
Lineage: Bacteria; Pseudomonadati; Pseudomonadota; Gammaproteobacteria
Description: bacterial SSU rRNA
Rfam family: Bacterial small subunit ribosomal RNA
Source: RNAcentral
GUUAAUCGGAAUUACUGGGCGUAAAGGGUCUGUAGGUGGCCGGAUAAGUCGGAUGUGAAAACCCUGGGCUCAACCUGGGAACGGCAUUCGAUACUGUCUGGCUUGAGUGCGGCAGAGGAUCGGGGAAUUUCCGGUGUAGCAGUGAAAUGCACAGAGAUCGGAAGGAACAUCAAUGGCGAAGGCAACGAUCUGGGCACGCACUGACACUGAGGGACGAAAGCGUGGGGAGCAAACAGGAUUAGAUACCCUGGUAGUCCACGCCGUAAACGAUGAGUACUGGCUGUUUGUCCUGGUGUAAAAGGAUAAGUGGCGCAGCUAACGCGUUAAGUACUCCGCCUGGGGACUACGGCCGCAAGGCUAAAACUCAAAGGAAUUGACGGGGACCCGCACAAGCGGUGGAGCAUGUGGUUUAAUUCGAUGCAACGCGAAGAACCUUACCAUCCCUUGACAUCUGCGGAAGGCCUGAGAGAUCAAGCUGUGCCUUCGGGAACCGCAAGACAGGUGCUGCAAGGCUGUCGUCAGCUCGUGUUGUGAAAUGUUGGGUUAAGUCCCGCAACGAGCGCAACCCUUGUUUCCAGUUGCCAUCAUUUAGUUGGGCACUCUGGAGAGACUGCCGCUGAUA